RNAcentral lists this small RNA (553 nucleotides) under Pongo abelii (Sumatran orangutan). Its description in RNAcentral is "processed transcript". The record is from RNAcentral. Lineage: Eukaryota; Metazoa; Chordata; Mammalia; Primates; Hominidae.
AGAAUGUGUGCCAUAGUAUUAGAGUUUGGUCUGUAGGUCCCUUUCACCUCAAUUUCUGGUGAACCUGUUACAAUUCCUUCAUUAUAGAAGAAAGCAGCCACCUUACGUUUCAAAAUAAGGAGACGACCUCAUGCGCUGUGUGGAUCUCUACAACCAGGCCCAGUCCAAGUGGUUUGAAGAGAUGGUGACCACCACACUGGAGCUAGAGCGGCUGGAGGUGGAGAGGGUAGAGAUGAUCCGGCAACACCUGUGCCAGUACACGCAGCUGCGGCAUGAAACAGACAUGUUCAACCAAAGUACAGUCGAGCCCGUGGAUCAGCUGCUUCGAAAAGUGGACCCGGCCAAAGACAGGGAGCUGUGGGUCAGAGAGCACAAGACGGGCAACAUCCGCCCUGUGGACAUGGAGAUCUAGAUGGGCCUGUGCAGCUUUGGGGGGUCCUACUGGGGAGGGGGGCUGGGCUCCCACCAUGGGGCCCAUGCCAAGUGGAUGCCCCCACCCUGUCUCCUGGGCCAUUGAGGAGAGAGGAGAGAGCUGGUGAUUCCAGAAGGGUGA